This is a long non-coding RNA of Grus americana (Whooping crane), 14948 nucleotides long. RefSeq lists it as uncharacterized. The record is from RefSeq and is a predicted model, not a curated record. NCBI's taxonomy places the organism in Eukaryota, Metazoa, Chordata, Aves, Gruiformes, Gruidae. The transcript is spliced from 4 exons.
UUUCCCUGGGAGCAGGAGCGAGAGAAGCGAACUCUCAAGUUGUGCCCGGGGAAAAGUUGCCCGGCUGGGGGGCGCCGGGCGGGAUCCUGAGCGGCGGCACCCGCCUGGCCCUGUUUGAUGCUGGGUUCUUGCCUUGUUCCUCGGGGAACCCGGGGAAAGGGCAGGCUUUGCCUAAGAAGCUUCCCGUAGUCGUAUGGAGAGAAGGGGAGAAAGAAAACAACCUAUCUUCAGAGCGGCACCUCGCCUUCUUCUGUCUUCUGCUCUCCUGGCCGGGGCUGGAAGAGGGGCUGAGGGGAGCCGGAGCAGUGCUCCGUGCCCUGCCUGGUGCCGGCUCUCCCCGCUCGUAGCCCCUCCUAAAGAAACACGUCCGAGCCCUCGUGGCGAAGAAUCAAAACCAACAAAAGUUGGAUCUUUUUCGGAAAGGGGGCCCGGGGGGCGCCGAGCCCGCCGCACGCUCGGCAGCGGCGGAGCGCUCGCCGCGGCUGGGACUUGACCUGCAGAGGGCAAUAGUUGGACGCAAAUGCUAACAAAGGCGGCGAGGCUCGUUGGCUCGGCACCGUGGCCGGGACCCAAGAAUGCUGUGUAGCCCACAUUCAUCUGAGAGGCGAUCGCCGGGGACAUGGGAAGCAAGAGCAGCCGCCGAUGUGUGAAAGCAACGAGACAUGGCCAGCCAGAGGCGCCGGGGUCCCUUCCCGGGGUUUGUUAACAUGGUAAUCCGGCACCAGGAGAGAAAGCUGCUUUCUGCUGCCCAGAGCCCAUUCCCCAUCACACAUCAGAUGACUCCCUGGUUUUACACACAGUUGGAGUUCUGCUCGAAACCUGGAUUUAAAGGGAAUCUGUUGCUGCGUGUGACAUCUCUUGCAAGCUCCCAGAGAGAAUUGAUGGAGCAUACAGCUAGGGAAUAGGAUACCAGAGAAGCACAGAGGAAGAAACCAGGCAAUCACCAGGAUGGGAAGGUUCAGCGUCCAUUGGAUAUGGGACAAGAUCACUCGGCAACCCUUGUGGAUUCUCCUUCUUCUAGAGGGGAAUUAUAGUUAUGGAUUUAUUGUCCCGGUGCAGCACUUCCAGCAGCAGCAGCAACAGCAGCAGCAGCUUUCUGACUCUCUUCGGUGACGGGUAUUCUUGGGUGGAUAAUACGGAUUACGUUGUUAUUGCUUAAGAAUACGCGUAGUCGAGGAGAGUACCGGCGGCGGGCAGGCAGGCAGGCAGCGCGACCGCCCCCAGCCCACCAGCUGGCUCCUAACCUCCUCUAGUUGCCAAGGUAGCACCUUUUCCAUCUUUUCCUACGCUUUGCAAUGUUUCACUCUGUCUGUGUCUCUGCCCGGGCGGGGGGAGCCCUGUCCCCCACGGAGGAGGGUGCCCGCGUGUGUGUGUGUGUGUGCGUGGGAACAAGCACAGAGCUGGGGAGGGCCGGGGAAAGGCUUGCCAAGCCUCGCAGGGGCACGCCGCGGGCGGCGGGGGCUGCGGGCAGGGGGUGACCGGGGGAGCCGAGGCCACUGCGGGGUGCGCCUCCGCGGGCAGCACCUCCGGGGGGAAGGUGCUCGCCCCGUCCGGGAAGGCCCGGUGCCCCGGCACACGGCCGGCAGCCCCCAGCCCGCCCGGGGCCCGCGGCCCCCUGCCCCUCUGCGGCGGGGAGGGCGGGGCGGGGAUGGGGGGACCGGGGCGGCCGGCCCCGCCUGCCGGGGGGGGUCCCCCCUCCCCCCGAGACACGGGUUGCCCGCAGGGCCGGGGCGGCCCCGGCUCCGCCCGCACCCGCCGGCAGCGCCCGGAAUGCCGCCCCCUCCGCGGCCGCGGCCCCCGCGCCCACAGCAGCCGGGUCGUGCGGGGCUGGGGGGCUGCCCGCGGGCGGGGAGGCGCGGAGCACCCGUGCUAGCCGGGCAAGGGGCACCCCGCGGGGCUGUGGCUGUGCCCUACCGCCCGGGGAACCUGCUGUUCCCCGGCUGCGCGGGGUCCGGCCACCCGGCAGGGCCGCUACUGGGGAGCAGGUUGUGGCCGGUUGCUUCGAGGGGGUGAUGCCCCCCUGCCCCCCAUAUCCUCACCCCGCAGUACCAGCCUGGUGAAGGCAGGAUUAAGAACCCACGUUCACACUAGCCCCAGCUCGGGAAGCACCCAGCUGAAUGCAGAGCUCAUCAGCCUCUGAGGCCCCAGGUUGAGAUCCAUGUUUAGGGCCAGGGCUGAGGGGUUGCUUCCCCCCCUGGAGCUCAGGUGGUGGCUUCUUUGUUCCCCCGCCCCGCAAAGAGCUCAGGACUCCCCAAAUGGUACUUGCAGCUGGGCAGGUGGGAGACACAACCAAGGGAAUGUUGAUUUCCGUUACUGGCCAAGCCAUGCGCCAUCUCUUUAACACAGAGGAAGAGGUGCAUCCGUCCCUCUCUCCAAUCUCAGCAGCAGGGCACAGGCUUUGGUUAAAAGCCUGGUCAGCCUUUCAGGUGCUGUGCUUAGGAAAAUCCAGGCAUAGCAUUCAUACUUCCAGUCUUUUUUUCCCCUGCUCCCCUGCCCCCAAGACUGGCAGAGACACGGAGCAGGGUGUGAUCAUCCCUAUGUUUCCCCAGUUGAGAUCUCUCCGCAUGACCAGAGGAUGCCAGGUCUUGCUGCCACGUAGUCGCAAUUGUGAGACCAGAUUUCAGCCUUAAGUGAAUUAGAUCAGAAGCCAUUUUAAAGCAAGACCAAGAGUACAGUGAUGAGAUAGCCUUUUUGAAUGGAUCCUUCCCCAAGCUCAGCUGUGAUGAGGCUACAAACGAUUUUUAAAAUGGACGAGCCAGACGUGGGGUGAUCGUUAAGUUGUGAGUGUGAGGUGGGAUGAUGGAGAAUGUCUUUCUCUGUCUCUUGCUUAGUGAUUGAAAGGCCGUCUAUGUUCUGCUUAAUUAUUUCCAACAACUGCCAAAGGAAUCUUACUCUGUCGCCUUCAGUAGCGAGUGGAGCGCUCGUUGUUACACAGACGUGUGGAUCUGUUAUUCUUUAGACACAUCUUUGAUGCUAGCACUCUGAUCCUCAUGUUUCUCUAAUACUACUUGAAAGCAGAUUUUUUUCUUGUAGUUUAGUAUGUUCAACAGCCUCAGAAAUAAUGUUAAAUUAUGCUUUAAAAAGACACAAUCAGCUGCUAAAUCAUAGUCAGUUCAGCACCACAACACAGCUACAGUCACAAGUGCUGCAGGAACAGCGAUGGAAACACUAUUUUAAACAUCCAGGUUUGUAUUACAAACCUUCCUCUGAUCUGAGCUUUUAGUUGACAUUUUCCCUUGAGUCAUGACUUAGAGUAUUAUCAGGAGUUCCCAUUUCAUCACAUAAAGGAUGUGGUUUUGUUUGCUCUUUGCUUGGUUGAGUAUCUCGUGCAGUAUGAUUUGGACUGGUACCCAUAAAUACAAGCUUAGCAAAAUGUUUCUUUAUACCUGGUUUCUUCUAGUUGCUUUCUGUUUAGCAUGAUGAGCUGGUUUUGCUGAAUAAUGCCUUAAUGACAGGGCUGAUGCAUUUUUAAUGCGUGUACUCUUUGUCAUUGUCAAAAUUAACAUUUUGAUGAUUGUAGAUUUCUUUUCUCUAAAAUCUUUUGGGAAUUGCUAUGAUGUGUGGGUUAAAAGAGUGAAACUGUAAGGUCUGAUGGGAGAAAUACUGGAUAUGGUCACCAAAAUAAUUAUAAAAUAUUGUGUGAAGGCUCAAUAGCAUAAGGGCUCUUAGAAUGAUGUUUCCCAAUAGCACGCUCUCAGAGUGGCUCUCCCCGUUCAUUAGCAGUUCCUGGGGUCUGUCACGUAUGUAUAUUGAAGGACAGAGGCAGUCGUUUCUGAACAACAGAUCUCUAAGAAGAGACUAUUUAUACUGCGGGCCCGAUCCUGGGAAUGCACGUAGCUUCCAUGGGACUGCUCAGGGGAGCAAGGUUGCUCGUGUUAAAUCCAAAAUAUUUUGGGCCAAAUCCUACCAUUCAAUGCAAUUGAUUUCACUGCGGGAAAGAUUAGACCCCUAGUGAAAGGGAUUUUUACAACACCACACUUCCUAUUUUUUGGCUUUAGAAAUUGUGAAUCCUGUGUGCUAAAAAAUGAGUCUAAAAACCCCCUGCCUCUAAUAGUCUAAUGAUAUUUUAUUAACAGCAAAAAUUAUACUAAAAGGCUAUAGGGCAACAUAGUAAGAAAUUACUUUAUAAAUAAGGGGUUUUAAUUGUACCAGUACGAGCAUUUUCUAAGACAACAUUUUAGAAUGAGGUUUGUGGCAGCACCAACUGUGUGUUAACAGCUAUUUUGACGAGUGCAUAUUUAAUUAAUUUAGAAUACUAAAUUUCUAUUCUAAAAUUGUUUUUGUAAUCUGCAUCCUGGUAGAAAAUUAAAUAAAGAAUUAGCCCCAAAAUAAUUACUUGAACUUAGCCUUUUUUUAAAGGCCAUAAUCCUAUGAAGAUUUAUAUCUCUGGGUAAUUUUAUCUGCUGGAGUAGUCUCCAAAGCUGCUCCCGUAGGUAAGUCUUUGUCACGCCAGGGCCCCCGUAGCAGCGUAGCUGACUGACGGAGGAGCGGACGCUGGGGUGGCAGCCGCCCCGCUGCAGAGCAGGGUGCUGCAGGCCCCCCCUCUGCAGCCACCCAUGAUGCUGGCUGCUCCCCGCCCCGCUCCCCGCCAGGGAGAUGGCGACUGCUCGGGCCUUGCCAGAGCGGGGGGCUGCCGAAAGGGCUGUGCCCCGAGCGCCACGGGCACGUCAUGCCCCACGGUGGGAGUGGGAGAAGGAAGAGUAGCUUUGGUCCGCGUUGCGCUGUGCAGGCAGGCGAACAGCCCUGCCUGGGUCUGCCUAUAACAGGAAGCAUUGCUCUGCUUAGCAAUACCCUAAAUUAAGUGACGAGGAUUGCCAUUUGAUUUCAGGUGCUCUUUCCAUAAAUAUUUAAGCCUACAGCCCUUGUACAUAUACAUAUCUCGGAACGGAAUGAAUAUAUACACACACAUGUAUAUGCACGUCUCCCCAAAGGGAGGCUGGAGCAUACCGUGAAAAGCCCCACUCUCCCAGACCUGACAGAGGCACGACUCCCACUCACCUUGGCAGGGGCCGUGCCGUUCCAGUGCGUAUUUAUGACGGGUGUUGUGAUUCCUCUUGCUGCCUGCAAAUUUGCCUAAAAUAAAUGCACACACUGUUGCACGUAGAUAUGUAUAGUUAUGCAGAUGCCUUUCCUCGGGAUCAGUUCUGCUUGCUUUCCACUUUUAAGACUACAUCUGAUUUUGAGGGGAGUGUAAGAUUUCUUGCCAUGACAGGUUAUUGCCUUUUGUGUCAGUUUAGGUGGCUUCUAGCGUUCGUAGGGUUUUAUUAAGGCAACCGGAAACAAUAAUACCUAUACAUCCACACAGCUACACACAUACUUUGCAGCUGUAAGAAUAAGCUAACUAGCCUUUUUUGCUGGGUUUUUACAUCACACUAGAAGUAAUGCAUACAACUGGAUUUUUAUGCAUCUUUUCAAAUAAAUAGUGUCUUUGCAUACACAAAAGGCUUUUUCUUCUCUUCCUUUUAAAAGAUUACUAUAUUUCUGAAAAGCACCCUUCCCCAGGUAUUACCCUUAGCUGUUAUGACACCUCACCAUUUAGUGUUGUGGAGGUAAAUGAUAUCACUCAGUAUUAAUAAUCAUAAAUUUUUACCAGAUUCAGCAUCUGCCUCCUGAAAGCUUUAACGGUGGAAACAUUUCCUGGGCUAACGCCCAUGAUGCUUGCAUGCUUUUUAUUGCUAUCAUUUAGAAACUAAAUUGCUCAAAAAUCAAAGGACUUGAUUAUCAUACACCUGCAAUGCAUAGACCUAUUUAUAAAUAUGGCUUGAUAAUAACAAUGACUCAAAGAAAUUUAAAUGAAAGGGCAAGAAUAAGAAGUCUAAAAGUGAAAACCCAAGCCAGAAUUCAUAGAGGUGAUGGGAAGAGUCUGACAUCAAAGGACAGAGAGGAUCCUAAGGAAGGUGAGGAGGAGAGGCUUGGAGGUGAUGGUAGAGGGUAGAUGUGCCACGGCUUUGCAGAGCCAGAGGGCAGAUGAGAGGAGAGGCGCCAGGGAUGGCAGGCGAGGAGGUAUCGCAGCGUGGCGCUGGGAGAAUGCGCCAGAAGUGUGGAAACCAGGGCUGGAACAUCACAAACAUUUGGUAGUUUGCUUUCUGGAAAAAACAGUAUCUAGUUAAAAGCAGCCAACAGAAAACAGGUGAAAUGUUCCAGAAACUAGAGGGGUUGAUUGAUGGGAAAAAUAAGAGCCCUGAAUAUACAGCUGAAAGGAUUUUAUAUAUAUAUAUAUAUAUAUGAAUAUGCAUACCUAGCCAAAAUUACAUAAUAAUGCUCAUAUAGAUAAAUGAAAUGAGUAUCCUGCUUUUGAAAUAAUUCACCUACAGAAACCAGUGGGAAUUUUCCAUUGAUUUCAGUGGGGCCACUGCAGGAAAGGCCUCCUGUCUGCAGGAAAGCGAUGUAGCCUGGUGUGUGCAAAUAGACCUAGGAGCUAUGUAGGGAGAAAAUGCAGCGUGGCUAUCAAGAAACGUUUCCUUUCAGUGAACCCAAUACCUCUCUAGCCAGCGGGGAUGAUAUAAAGUAACGGAGCAAUCUCCAGGCAGGAAAGCCCUCGCCUGGGAGAUAUAAAAUUAGCUUGGCCAAGACACCGCAGGCAGCAGUUGCCCUACGAGGGCUGGAGAGCCACCUCUUGCCUCUGACACCUCCAUGGAGUUCAAAUGGCUCUGAUAAUUCCCCGAUACUUUAUAUCACUAGUAAGAAAGAGGUAGGACCAUAAGAGGCUACUUAAACUUUCCAAGCUACUCUCUCAGAGUAUUUCAGAUUAAGUCAAACAUUCUUUUACCUGUUUCAAGGUCAACGGUCACCACAGUUAUUGUUCUGUAUCAGUUCUUCUGAGUUGUAUGUCAUGUACACCCCUUUCACAUUAUUACAUUAGGCAUGAAAUGUUGGAAAAAUAUAGCUGACUUUAAUAUUAAGAAUUGCUGAUUCAUAACCUUGUUUGGAAUAUUAGCAGUUCUCUUACUAAAUCAGGACAAUAUCAUGAAGUUUAUUAAUGUUCACAGGUCAGGCCUAUCUUUUAAAUCACUGAAAAUCAAUGACAAAGUGAUCACCAUGGAAUUGGUCUUCUCUAAUUAGAGAAAGAGGGACAUUCUGAACCAGAACUGUACAGCAUUUGAUUGUGCAGCCUGUUACCAAAAAAAGAACCAUCUCACUGCAUCUUACAGAGACAUUUACAUAGAUAAUGUAGAUUUCAUAUGACUUCUUCUGGAUUGUCUGAUAGUAAUAGCUUUGCAAGUAUUCACAUCCUCCUAACAAGAAGUUGAUAGAAAAUUCAAAUAAAAAAGGCAUCACUGUAAUUACUGCAUUAUAAAGGAUUUAUUUUAUUUUUUGAAGUUAGGUGGGAAAUAAUAAUAAGAGCAGGGAGGCUUGAUGCAUUAGUGCUUCACGUCAUCUGGAAACUCAUCCUUUAACAAUCAUUCUCCAGGAGAUAGCUUACCUUGUUACUCCAAGAAAAUGUAGACCAGUAUUACCUCUUCAUCAAAUUACCAAAAACAUUCUUCUGAAAUCCAAAAUUAUACAGUUCAAUGCCUGCUGUUUUACUGGAGCAACAGUUAUUAUAGUCUUGAUGCUCUGGUUGUUAAAAAUGAUAUUACUACAGGGAAAAAUUAUUUCUUGUUCCCCUACUUUCUUUCCUCCACCGCCUGGCUGUCCCCCUUCCUCUUUGUGAUACAUGCAAAAGGCUUGAGGGGAUGAAAGGGUUCUUCUUUCUCAACAUGUUUUAUUUUAGAAAUGUCAGGAUCAUUUAAUUUCCUCAUUUUUUUCUGAAUAUCUUGAACUAUAGAGAAGAGCAGUCGAAACUUUCUCAGACCCUGGUUUAAGAGGUAGUGAUUUUUUCCAUUCGCGAGAGAGACCUUUUUCCCUGCAUGUUUGCCAGGGGGCCGAGUUAUGCAGCGGACAAUAACAUAACUACUUUUAAGGUUUCAGUACAAUCAUUUUCUUUUUUACUGCGCAUGUCGUAUUGUUCUUUGUUUCGUUAUGACAUCAUGUGGCUGUCAUACAGGUGAUAACAUAAACCCGUUUGCCUUCAGCCAUUCAUAGAGCCCCUGGGUGAACACAGGAUCUGCAAAUCCUGCUCUGGGAAGCAAGAAACAAACCCACUCCCUUUUGCUCUCAUCAUUUCUGCGUAUGUGAAUUCUUAGCAGUGAAGAAUGCAGGACCAGUCCAGACCCUCAGUUAGAGAUGAAAAUAGACAUGUUUAAUUUUCAUUUGCGGGAGCUGCAGUGAGUCAGUGCUGCUCGCUCUGCUCCAGCCUCCCUGGUACAGAGGGAGGAAAAACUCCAACGAGGGAAAGGAGGCUGAAUGGGUGUGAUGCAAGAAUCCAAGGAAAGCAAACCGAAUAAAUAAUUUCUCCUGCAAAAUACUUAGCUGGAGUUUUUAUGUUUUAAUUUUUACCAAAGUAUUUCACAUUUCUUGGAUGCAAAACUUAAAUAUGUGCCCUGUAGAGAGGCUUGGAAUAAUAUCUCUGCUUUCGCUAAUAAAAUCUCUCUUCCGAGAUUAACUCUGGAGCUAGCAGUAAGGUCAGUAUUUCAUUUCAUAGAAGUCAGCUCACACUGACAAGGGUUUGGCCUUCUUAGUGAUGGGCCGUUUGCUGCUCAGAAGUGUGAGGAAUGGCUUUCUGAAAUAUCGAUAGCUUGCCUUCGCUAGAGUUCAUGAUCAAAUUUAACCGACAAGUAUCAAUGCGCUACAGCACCCGGACUGAGGGGCUGAGAGGCUUGGGCCUUGGGCCAGCCGCUAAGGUUUGCUUUUUAAAUCAGAGGCUAACUCCUCCAUUAGUGGAAAUCAGUGGUUUAUAACAACAUCAAGUGAGAUUUGUGCCAGAGUAGCCCAGACUACAGCCUGGUCUUGGGAUUUGAAAAGGAAUAGAAAAAUUAGGCCGUGACCAUUACUAUUCUGUUUUCAUUUGGUUUUGGUGCGCGUGUGUGUAAAUGUGCUAUCCACACAUGCAGAGCUGCACUUCAUUCCCGUGGAUGUUUCCCAUGGCCGUACGGCUGCCGUUUAACAAGGACCUAAGAGCACGAAAUCUUCAUCCUGGUGUGGUUUGACUGACGUGUGCAGAGAUCUCACAGAAAGGCUCUGGAAUCCCACUUUUCAGCCAUAAAAGGAAAGCAGGCAAGCUUCAUCCCGGCUAAACCCUUUGCACAAUAUACAUCAAUAAUGAGGCAGCAUCUAUUUAUAUAGUGCUCGGUGGAAAUGACUGAAUUCAGACAGAAGUUGGUGAGGCAGCCUGAGCUCCACCAGCCUCCAUGGAGUCUAUUGUUAGUACCCAGGAUGACUCCUCAGGCAAACGGGGAAGAGAGGCACGAUUUGGAGCCUACCACGCCACGGGGAAGAUUAUCAGCUUCGGCACUUGGCGGGUGGUGUCUCCUCUCAGAGAAUGCCUUCGAUGGCUCUGCCAGGACCCGCCAGUCACGGAGGAGAAAUACAGGAGAAAUGGUCGCAAGAGCAGGGGGGCAAGAGCGCAGCCCCAUUGCUGCUCCCCGGGAAGCGGCAUACUGACAGGGUGGGAGCUCCCUGCCUUUCUUCAUGAGAAAAGGAGGUGUCCGAGAGGGAACGGGAGGAAGGCAGUACUAGCUUGAUAAACACCGAUGCCUUCUUGCCAUGUCAUCGCAGAAGGCUUUCAACAGUACUUUUCACCUAGAAAAAAAAAAAAAUGCGGUAAAAAAGCCCCCUCCAGCAUUAUGACAUUGGUUAGGCAGGUCUGUGUGGCUGAUAGCCCAGCGACAAGGCUGAGAUGCAGUGCCGACACAUGCCCGUGACAAUGAAAACUUGCUUGUCUAGGAGAUGUUUAGCAUAAAUAAGGCACUCGAAACGCCUUAGCAAAGCACAACCCAGACAGUGCUUUUGCUCCGUGUCCUUUUUUACUCCUCCUUUCCUCUGUGGCUCUUGUGUACUUUGCCCAUAUGCUCUAAAGCUAUUUUGUUUUCUGUUUUAUGUGUGUUUUAUGUAAAUUAGAGGAAUCAAGUUUCUCUGCUGUCUAAAUUAUAAAUUGAGUGGAAAUUGGCUGACUCUCUUUAGACUAUGUCUAUAAGCUAUACAAAAUAUAAGUAACCAAGCUGAGCAGGCUGGGUUGGGGAGGGAAGACACAACAGCAUGGGCCACGUGAGCCUCCGUCCACGCGUCCUCAUAUACUGCUGCUUGCCUUUGCAGCUUUGAAUAUCUCUUUCCACUAAAGUGCCGAUCUAACUCCUUUUAGACCAUUCUCUGAGAAGUAGGUUUAUUGCCUCCUUUGGUAGUUUGCUCAGCAUAUUCAUUACGCCCUGUAUAAAUGAACUGCUCUUAAAUGCUUGUUUCCACUCUCCUGCUCUAGGACCAGAGCAGAUCCAGACAGCCUCCUCUGGGAGCGCUGAUUCAUUUCGUUUCCCUUCUUCCCCUUGUAAGUCAAAACUCCUGUUGAUUUUAGUGACUGUCUCUUUGGCUUACUCCCUGCUUUGGCUCUACUUCCCCCAUCCCACGCUAAUUUUCGUACAUUUGAGUUUUGCCCUGGGUUAUCUUUUCCUUAGUAGCCCACUGCAACGGCACGGAGUAGGACCGUGGUGUAAGAGCGGGAGCCUGGCAGCGCCUGGCAGCCUGAGAAACGCUGCCGGGAGAGCGAGGGAAUCGGCUGGUGUCUUGGGACUCCGUGAGAUGGUGGAGAAGCUGCUACAGGGCCGGACAAGACAGCCUCGCUGUGGCCUGUUACUGCACAGUUAGACCAAGUUUCAAGAAAAAGGGGCCUAAAAUCAGACCCCUAAAUCUAUCCUGACACAUUUCAAAGUUGGCUGAAUUUUGGGAGCCAGGUAGGACCAGCGUUAUCAUAAGCAUAUGUAGAGCCCUGCUUUACAGUCUGACUUCCGGGUUCCUCUUAAAAUGUCAGUUUUCAGACGAUUGUGACAAACCAAACUGCCUCUGAAAGAGGAGGCCGACUGCACCCUCAGCACGGGCAGGGAUGUCUGGCAGUCAGUGGCCGCGCUGGCCCCCGCGCUCUGCCGGCGUGUCCAGCAGCGCUGACCGAGGGCUGCCUUGUGCUGCUGCCGGCAGCCCGUCCGCCCCAGCGCCGAGCUGCGGCGGGGGCAGAGCUCGGGAUAGCUCUGCUUUCCGCCCUUUUUUCCAUGCCAGCCGGAGAAUGGAAAAAAAGGUCUUCGGAGAGGCAGUGUAGUGCAGUUCUCAUGAUAUCUUGACCAACGUUUUAAGGCUGGCAUCAUGGAGACUGUGAAUGCCAUUGCCAUGGAAAAUUCAGGUCAGAAACGAAUGGCUGCAGGGGAGUAAUUGUGGGCGGUGGGUGGGUGGGCUCUGCAGGCACGUCCCAGGGGCCUUCAUGGAAUGCGCAGCCCUGUGCGCCUGCGGGGUCCUGGGGUGCCCAUGUGGGUCCCCAAAUCCUCCCAGCCCAGCCUGGCCGCUGAGAUGUGCCGCUCUUCGGGCACAGUGCGCUCCGCUGAUUCUGGCGGGGUUGAAGCAUGUGCUUUGUAAAGGGGAUCCCAGCUGAGUCGGUUGUGCCCGAUUAGACGGACGGCCUUCAGGAGUCUGGCGCUAGGACGUGAAGGGCGCAAAGAGAUCCUCUCUGCUCAGGCUCUGCCCUUGCAGUUGUUUGAAUUUGGGCUCUCUUUCACUGAGUUCACAAAAUACAUGCCUUUUUUUUUUUGAAUUCAUUAAAUACUUUGAUUCAGUGAUAUACUCUGAGAGCAUGGUUUAUUCUGUCCAGUCAAAUGUUUACUGAGAAGUGAUAAAAAAUACCCGACCUGCCUUUUUUAGAGCUGCUUAUUUUAUUUCAAAGGGCAGGCAUAACCUGUCAUUUCCUGGUGUGAUUUUUAUUAAACCUCUGCCUAUUUUAUUUGUCAGACCACAUAUAAAUUUACUACCAGUUGUGUUUCCAAAUAAAAGACAUAUAGGUUGGUAAGCAGUCUAUAAGUCAAGCUGCUACUCCUUGAAACUCAUAAAAGGAUCAUUUUAAUCCAUGGAAUUGCUAAUUAAAGCUGCUUCUCAAAACACAAAAAUUAAGUUAACAGUAAUUAAUGUAGCCAGCCUGGAACCUUAGGAAGCUACUGCCAGCAAGUGUCUUUUGGUGCACUCAAGAGGAUGCAGUUUGAUUGUUGGCACCAACAGACAGGUUGGGAAUUGUAAACAUGGUAAUUAGCAGUAAGUUUCUGGAUCUCAACUUGCCAGACUGGCAGUCUGAUUCUUGGAGUAGUUGUCGCAUGGGAGGAGGGAAAAACAAAGUAAGGGAAUUAGAGCAACCUUGCAUUGCUCCGCCAACAUAUGCCACUGGACCAAUGUUUUUCUUGGCAAAGAUCUCUGACAAGGAGUUUAAAAGCAGCGUUGCAGCCCUACUGCAAACUGUGAACCUCACUGCAGGCAUCAACCAAGCAACUGGCUCUGGCUCUUCUGCUCAAACUAUGAGUGUUGCUCCAUGGAAAGGAAUUGUAGAGGCUGAGAUUCCCUUGCUCCACCUCUACAGCAGGGCACAGUGUUGAUAAGGUUAUCAACAAUAAUGGGAUUAAAAGAGUUAAAAUCCAGCUUUUGCAGUAAUCCCAGAGUAUUCUAUUGUUGAGCUAUCAAAGAUUAAGGUUAUAGUGACCUUAUUAACCCUUGGUGUAGUGUAAAUAAAAAGGAAAUGUCAACCCUAAUUCCACCAUGAAAUUAAAUCUUCACUUCUCUAAAUGAUGAUUCAAACACAGCUUACUCCAGCCAAUGUGGUUUAUGAAAAUACGGAACCCACGUGAAUUAAAAUGUCCCAUCUGAGAGAGAGAGGGAGAAAAGGGUGAAAAGUGAGAAAAAGGGUGGAAAGGGAGAAAAGUGGUUGCUGAACCUUCUGGAAGCAGAGAGCCAGGUGCUGGUGUGAAGGGCACAGGUUUUCCUGGCCAAGCUGAUUUCCAGGGGGUGGGAGCUGCCUCUUCCGGCAAUGGAUGGUGCCCUCCUCACCUGUGCUGGACACAGCCCCUGCUGCCCCUGCCCACAGAGGUUAAAUCUGUCAGCAGGUCUGAAACUGCCCCCCUAGGACUGGCUCUGCUGCCUGAAGAGAGGGACUGACUGACUGACUGACUGACUGACUGGGCUCUGCUUGGGACGUGGUGCAGGUAAACCUGUAUUUCCUUGUGGGGAGCAGGAGGAGAAUUACAGUAGGCAGAAACAGGCUGUGUGCCCUUUGUUAUGCUUUUUUUGACUGGGAGGAAAAAUAAAAAUAAAGUAGUGGUAAAUGGGGUGAUUCAGAAUGAUUCUGCGUAUUAAAAAAAUCAAACGCUUACUCUGAGUGUCUAGCAGAGAGGUAAUUAAGUAUUAAGGAGCUGCCUCUAGCAGGAAGUGGGCUCUCUGGAGGGCAAGAGGCAUUGCCAGAGAAAAGAGAUGUUUUUAGUGGGGUUAGUGGGGCUGUUCCCAGCAAAAGGGGCUUUGCCACUAGCGAUCUGCUCUGUGGCAGCUACAUCUCCUGGAAAUUACUGGAUCUGUGGAUUGAUAGUGCUGGGGAGUGGGUACGCUCUGCCUCCUCAUAUUGCUUACCCCAGUCCUCGUGAACUCUGGUGAAGUUGCAUUAUGAAGCUCAGACUCAUAAAAGAGCUCAGUUUAGGAUGGGUUUUUUUCCCACUGCUCACUGAAUCAUACUCUUCUCUGGUGUAAAUUGUCACAACUCCGGAGCGUGCCCCAGCUCAGAUGCGCCCGCUGAGUCCUGGGCUGCCUCCAUACCCGCUGCUGCUGCAAUUGCCACCACAAACACAAACUGGCUCGCUCUGGCUCUUCUUGCCUUUCCCCAGUGUAGGAAUAGACAGUGGGCCCAUAGGGUUGCUCAGAAAUAUUACUGGUUUCUAGUGCUGGCAUAAUGCUCCCUUCUAGGUAGUAUCCCUUUUCUGGACAAUUUCCCAGUAAAAUAGUAAAUGGCAACUGCAGAGCAGUAAAGGCGGUAGUGUAUUUGUUUGACUGACAUUUCAGAGCCUGCAGAGCAAAUGCAAUUAGGACCUACAGUGUGUUGCAGCUUCCUUUCUUCAUUUCCCUGCUCUGGAAGAGCUGCUGUUAGGUUCAGUUUAAGCCUGGUCCCCACUCCAUGUCAGCCUUAGGUGGAGGGAGGGCGGCGUGUUCCCGAGCCCCUGCAGGCACCCUCUGCGUUGGGAGCAGCAGCAUCUCGCAGGGCUCAGGUGGGAUGGGCGCUGCUGCUGCUCUGCUGCUGGCACUGCAGCCCCGGGCAGGAGCGGAGGGAUUUCGUUAGUAGGUGCGAGCUUCCCUCGGACUCAGCAGAGUUGGCACCACGGUGGCCCUGCAGCGCUCAGACCUGCGCCGACCAGGGAGAAAUCCCUGACGGUGCCCGUGGGUCUGUGCCAGGCAGUGCAACCCACGGUUUGGGCUACGCCAGUCUUCACCAGGGGCAACUGGUGCUUUCUCUGGAGUUUUCCAGGGUCAACAGUUGAUGCCCCGUGAACACUUGAUACACACCUGGCAUCAGAAAGAGGUGGAAAAAAAAAAUCACCAUAAUCGUUCAGAUUUCACCGAAGGAGGUAAUUGAGAACAAAUUGCUACCAAAAGCCAAGGGCUGCGGUUAAUUGCGGUGGAGCACUGCGGGUCACUCACCUGUAGGGAAAGACUGCUAGGGAACAGGCAGGGGGCAAAAUUGUUUCUCUCCUGGUGGGGAAAGAGGGUCUUGGCCAUGUAAUUUGGUUUGUAGGGUUAUUCUGUAACUCAUAGACUUUUACAUGAAAAUCCAACCCACAGUGCAGUGCUUUAAUCUCUAGAAAUAAUGCGGUGGGUGAAGGCAGGGGCGGCUGCGGCUUGCCGCGGUGGCAGGGUGGCGGCCAGGCUGCACCAUCCCUCCUGCCACGGGCAGGUCCGAGCUGGCCCCCGCAGGCAGCGCAUGGCGGGAGAGGCACGGGCAGCUGCCAAGUCCCCUCUCCACUGGGUCCUACUCGAGGGAGGGACAUGUAAAUCCUGCACUUGGCUGAAGAGAGGGGCACGGUGGAGGCUGCAACGUGUGCAGAGCCACCACGCUACCAGCCCGCUCCAACCGG